AGCAUCACUUUCAAAGCAUCGUUUCAGGAUGAGUAUUUCAUGUCAAGUGGAUUCAAGGAACAGUGUGAAGGAUCCAUGGCCUCAGUCACCGUGAAGACCCUCCCAAGAGUCAGCCCUACUGGGCAGGUAUAAAUGAGUGGAGACAUGGAACUCACCCUUACAAGGCCUAAACCUGACAGAGCACACAAGACAGAAGCCCAGAUAACCAGGAGCAGGAAGCUGAAGCUCCUGUUGACCACCCAGAGGAGUUUACCCUUGGCAGUGCGGAGGAGGAGGUGGCCUCUGACAUGGAGAAGCCUGCCGCCCAGUAUCAUCACUGUACGUAUUCUUUUUCUUUUAAAGAGUUACUGAGAUGUAGUUGACAUGCAAACCAAUUCACCCAUUUAAAGUAGGUGAUUCA
Non-coding RNA from Saimiri boliviensis boliviensis (Bolivian squirrel monkey), 400 nucleotides. NCBI's taxonomy places the organism in Eukaryota, Metazoa, Chordata, Mammalia, Primates, Cebidae. The record is from RefSeq and is a predicted model, not a curated record.